This 369-nucleotide ribosomal RNA is filed under the name uncultured organism. RNAcentral's name for it is "bacterial SSU rRNA". It matches the Rfam family "Bacterial small subunit ribosomal RNA", at positions 526 to 896 of the family's 1533-position model. The record is from RNAcentral.
CGUAGGUGGCAAGCGUUGUCCGGAUUUAUUGGGUUUAAAGGGUGCGUAGGCGGUCUUGUAAGUCAGUGGUGAAAUACGGCAGCUUAACUGUCGAGGUGCCAUUGAUACUGCAGGACUUGAGUACAGACGAGGUAGGCGGAAUUGACGGUGUAGCGGUGAAAUGCUUAGAUAUCGUCAAGAACACCGAUAGCGAAGGCAGCUUACUAGACUGUAACUGACGCCUGAUGCACGAAAGUGUGGGGAUCAAACAGGAUUAGAUACCCUGGUAGUCCACACUGUAAACGAUGAUUACUCGAUGUUGGCGAUACACAGCCAGCGUCUUAGCGAAAGCGAUAAGUAAUCCACCUGGGGAGUACGCCGGCAACGGUG